UACGGGGGGGGCAAGCGUUGUUCGGAAUUACUGGGCGUAAAGGGCUCGUAGGCGGCCAACUAAGUCAGACGUGAAAUCCCUCGGCUUAACCGGGGAACUGCGUCUGAUACUGGAUGGCUUGAGUUUGGGAGAGGGAUGCGGAAUUCCAGGUGUAGCGGUGAAAUGCGUAGAUAUGACAUAGAACACCCAUUGCGAAGGCAGCUAACUACGCGAUUAUUGACGCUGAUGCACGAAAGCGUGGGGAUCAAACAGG
This 253-nucleotide ribosomal RNA is filed under the name uncultured bacterium. RNAcentral's name for it is "partial 16S ribosomal RNA". It matches the Rfam family "Bacterial small subunit ribosomal RNA", at positions 524 to 776 of the family's 1533-position model. The record is from RNAcentral.